UUAACGCUGGCGGCGUGCCUAAUACAUGCAAGUCGAGCGAACUGAUUAGAAGCUUGCUUCUAUGACGUUAGCGGCGGACGGGUGAGUAACACGUGGGCAACCUGCCUGUAAGACUGGGAUAACUUCGGGAAACCGAAGCUAAUACCGGAUAGGAUCUUCUCCUUCAUGGGAGAUGAUUGAAAGAUGGUUUCGGCUAUCACUUACAGAUGGGCCCGCGGUGCAUUAGCUAGUUGGUGAGGUAACGGCUCACCAAGGCAACGAUGCAUAGCCGACCUGAGAGGGUGAUCGGCCACACUGGGACUGAGACACGGCCCAGACUCCUACGGGAGGCAGCAGUAGGGAAUCUUCCGCAAUGGACGAAAGUCUGACGGAGCAACGCCGCGUGAGUGAUGAAGGCUUUCGGGUCGUAAAACUCUGUUGUUAGGGAAGAACAAGUACAAGAGUAACUGCUUGUACCUUGACGGUACCUAACCAGAAAGCCACGGCUAACUACGUGCCAGCAGCCGCGGUAAUACGUAGGUGGCAAGCGUUAUCCGGAAUUAUUGGGCGUAAAGCGCGCG
RNAcentral lists this ribosomal RNA (560 nucleotides) under Bacillus sp. Ni12. Its description in RNAcentral is "bacterial SSU rRNA". It matches the Rfam family "Bacterial small subunit ribosomal RNA", at positions 30 to 571 of the family's 1533-position model. Lineage: Bacteria; Bacillati; Bacillota; Bacilli; Caryophanales; Bacillaceae. The record is from RNAcentral.